RNAcentral lists this transfer RNA (73 nucleotides) under Pteropus alecto (black flying fox). It matches the Rfam family "tRNA". From Rfam's summary of the family: Transfer RNA (tRNA) molecules are approximately 80 nucleotides in length. Their secondary structure includes four short double-helical elements and three loops (D, anti-codon, and T loops). Further hydrogen bonds mediate the characteristic L-shaped molecular structure. tRNAs have two regions of fundamental functional importance: the anti-codon, which is responsible for specific mRNA codon recognition, and the 3' end, to which the tRNAs corresponding amino acid is attached (by aminoacyl-tRNA synthetases). tRNAs cope with the degeneracy of the genetic code in two manners: having more than one tRNA (with a specific anti-codon) for a particular amino acid; and 'wobble' base-pairing, i.e. permitting non-standard base-pairing at the 3rd anti-codon position. RNAcentral also lists the same sequence under 1 other name. Lineage: Eukaryota; Metazoa; Chordata; Mammalia; Chiroptera; Pteropodidae. The record is from Rfam by way of RNAcentral.
GGUUCCAUAGUGUAGUGAUUAGCACAUCUGCUUUACAUGCAGAGGAUCCUGGGUUCACACCCCAGUGGAGCCA